Long non-coding RNA from Carya illinoinensis, 1591 nucleotides. RefSeq lists it as uncharacterized. NCBI's taxonomy places the organism in Eukaryota, Viridiplantae, Streptophyta, Magnoliopsida, Fagales, Juglandaceae. The record is from RefSeq and is a predicted model, not a curated record. The transcript has 3 exons.
CUCUCUCUCUCUCUCUCUCUCUCUCUCUCAACCCUAGCUACGAAACCGUAGCCGCCGCCGCCGUGAUGGUCUCAACCCCGCCUCUUCUCCCACCAACACACUCACACCCAUCAAGAACGCGAAGCUCUCACCCCUGUCGCAGAUCUGCCUAAACCCGGUAGUCUCUCUUCUCUCUCUCUCUCUCUCUCUCUCUCUCUCUCUCUCUCUCUCUCUCUCUCUCUCUCUCUCUAUAUAUAUAUAUAUAUAUCUGCUAUUUUUUGUUAAACGUGGGGUGUUUUUAUUUUUCAAGUUUUUCAGAUCUGCUAUUUCCGUUAGAUCUGCAUGUAUCCUUUUUUUUUUUUUGGGUAUUUGGUAUUUAGUGUUUUUGAAUCACUGUCUCGUGUGGGUUUUCUGAUUCCGAGGGUUGAAGGGUUUGAUUGGUUGAAGGGUUGAAGGGUUGUGUAAAUGCUAUGCAUUAAAUCGAUCAUGUCUGUAAUAUAGCUUUUUGUUUAGAUAAAGAUUCCUACUUGUUCUUGAUGAAAUGCCUGAACCCAAGGCCUUGUAUAAAAGUAUAAAAUACCGUUGAUAUUAAACUAAGCUUUUGGGUGUGAAAAAGAAGGUAAUUUAAUCAAUAUCCUAUAUAGUCGCCUUAAUUAAUUAAGAACUUGUCAACUUGUUGUACGUUUCAAUCCCUAAUAUGAAGGGCUUAGACUUUACUAUGAUAUGUAGAGUGACUUGUUUGAUCAAGUGACUGCAGAAUGUAGUCAAUAUCACCUUGAGCUUCAGUCUUUGAUAAGGUAAUCUUAUUUUCUUUAUCUGCUUCUCGCAGCUCCUUAUUUGUUGCUCUAUUCUAUUUCCAAUUUUUUUUUUUUGGGAAUUCUACUUAUGAAAAAUAAUUUUUAUUUGGAAUUCUGUUCCAGAAAACAAUAUAUUAUGUCUCAUCUUUUGUCCUCAACGCAGUUGUUUUUAUAUCUUUUAUCCCAAAUGUGAUUUAUGAGCUUUGACAUCGUUUCCUUAAUUUAGAUGUAUUUAGGUGUUUGAACUCCUGGCUCUGCAGAGCCAUCUCUUGGUUCUGACAGUGACCACCUAGAACCUAAUCAAACUACCAAUGUAGAGGAUGAUACUCAUAAGCAUAAGGAUGAUGGUCAACAACUGUCCAACGGCCAAGUGUCAGUUAGUGAAAAAGGAAUUGAUCAUGAGAAGCAUCCAAUUGAUUUAAGUCAGAGUGCUGAAAGUCCACUCACUGAGACAGCUCCUACAAUCCAGGAGGAUGCUCCAAAGAAGUCUUUUGCAUCAGUGUGCUGCUGAGUAUAUUCUGUAUAAGCUGAAACUGAUGGGAAAGAUAAUUGAAGUCCACAGUGCUGCUGAAUUUUCUUACUUCAAUCUUUUUAUUUUUUUGGGGGGGGGGAUUUGUUUGCAUUUAAAUGUAGUUUUUCUGAUCAAUUAGUAUGCUAGAUUUUAUUUUAAGAGUUGGUACUCGAAACCGUUCAUUUAAAACAGAGUUGACAAGAUAAAAUCAUUGAAGUGGUGGAAAAAUAUUAAUAUUUCCCCAUUUCUUUGGUUCAGACCAUUAAAAAAAAGCCAAUUAUAAAAGGAUUCUUCCACUGUUUUA